UACGAAGGGGGCUAGCGUUGCUCGGAAUCACUGGGCGUAAAGGGCGCGUAGGCGGCCGUUCAAGUCGGGGGUGAAAGCCCAGGGCUCAACCUUGGAAUUGCCUUUGAUACUGGCUGUCUUGAGUUCGGGAGAGGUGAGUGGAAUGCCGAGUGUAGAGGUGAAAUUCGUAGAUAUUCGGCGGAACACCAGUGGCGAAGGCGACUCACUGGCCCGAUACUGACGCUGAGGCGCGAAAGCGUGGGGAGCAAACAGG
Molecule: ribosomal RNA, 253 nt
Filed under: uncultured bacterium
Lineage: Bacteria
Description: partial 16S ribosomal RNA
Rfam family: Bacterial small subunit ribosomal RNA
Source: RNAcentral